GUUCCAGUAGCUCAAUGGUAGGGCGCCAGACUUCUAAUCUGGAGAUUGCGGGUGAGUCCCGUCUGGAGUA
This 70-nucleotide transfer RNA is filed under the name Aspergillus wentii. Its description in RNAcentral is "tRNA-Arg". It matches the Rfam family "tRNA". Rfam says of the family: Transfer RNA (tRNA) molecules are approximately 80 nucleotides in length. Their secondary structure includes four short double-helical elements and three loops (D, anti-codon, and T loops). RNAcentral also lists the same sequence under 1 other name. The record is from RNAcentral. Lineage: Eukaryota; Fungi; Ascomycota; Eurotiomycetes; Eurotiales; Aspergillaceae.